RNAcentral lists this ribosomal RNA (839 nucleotides) under uncultured Acinetobacter sp. RNAcentral's name for it is "bacterial SSU rRNA". It matches the Rfam family "Bacterial small subunit ribosomal RNA", at positions 61 to 822 of the family's 1533-position model. The record is from RNAcentral. Lineage: Bacteria; Pseudomonadati; Pseudomonadota; Gammaproteobacteria; Moraxellales; Moraxellaceae.
UACAGCGGAGCGAAGAGUGCUUGCACCCUAUAGCGUUACGGCAGGACGGGUGAGUAUGCUUAGGAAUCUGCCUAUUAGUCCCCGGGGACAACGUUUCGAAAGGAACGCUAAAUACCGCAUACAGUCCUACGGGAGAAAGCAGGGGAUCUUCGAGACCUUGUGCUAAUCAGAUAGAGCCUAAGUCGGAUUAGCAUAGUUGGUGGGGUAAAGGCCUACCAAAGGCGACACGAUCUGUACGCGGGUCUGAAGAGGAUGAUCCGCCACACUGGAGACUCGAGACACGGCCCAAGACUCCUACGGGAGGCAGACAGCUGGGGAAUAUUGGACACAUUGGGCAGAAAGCCUGAUCCAGCCAUGCACGCAGUGUGUGAAGAAUGAGCCUUUCAGGUUGUAAAAGCACUUUAAGCGAGGAGGAGGCUUCUUUUGGUUAAUACCCAAAGUAAGUGGAACGUUAAUCGCAGAAUAAGCACCGGCUAACUCUGUAGCCAGCAGCCGCGGUAAUACAGAGGGUGCACAGCGUUUAAUCAGGAUUUACUGGGCGUAAAAGCGUGCGUAAGCGGCCUACAUUAAGUCCAAUGUCGAAAUCCCCGAGACUUUCAACUUGGGAAAUUGCCAUCUCGAAUUAACUGGUUAAGCUAAGAGGUAAUGGGGACGAGGAUGGUAAGAACUCACCAAGGUGUAAGACGGUGAAACUGCGUUAGCAGAUCUUAGGCACGAAUUACCGAUUGGCGAAGAGCACCCACACAUGGCCACCCAUAAUGACAGCAAGGUACCAAACCAUUGGGGAACAAAAAGGGAUAAAUACCCUGUAACCAGCCGCAAACCAGUAUAAACAACGG